RNAcentral lists this ribosomal RNA (313 nucleotides) under unidentified. RNAcentral describes it as "Xenoplatyura sp. 1 NB-2020 partial 12S ribosomal RNA". The record is from RNAcentral.
UAAAAAAGUAAAUUUAUAAUUAUAUAAGAGUAGUAUUAGAUAUAUUCUUGAAACUUAAAAAAUUUGGCGGUAUUUUAAUCUAUUUAGAGGAACCUGUUUUUUAAUUGAUAAUCCACAUUAUAUCUUACUUAAAUUUGUUUAAUUUGUAUAUCGUUGUCAUAAGAAUAUCUAUAAAAAGAAAAAAUUUUCUAAUUUAAAAAUUUUUAUUAAAAAUGUCAGAUCAAGGUGCAGUUUAUAUUUAAGUAAAAAUGGGUUACAAUAAAAUUUAUUUAUUAUGAAUUAAUUAAUGAAAAUUAAUUAUGAAAGGGGAUUU